GCAGGGGAUCGCAAGACCUUGCACUUUUGGAGCGGCCGAUGUCUGAUCAGCUAGUUGGUGGGGUAAUGGCCUACCAAAGCUUCGAUCAGUAGCUGGUCUGAGAGGACGGCCAGCCACACUGGGACUGAGACACGGCCCAGACUCCUACGGGAGGCAGCAGUGGGGAAUUUUGGACAAUGGGCGCAAGCCUGAUCCAGCCAUGCCGCGUGAGUGAAGAAGGCCUUCGGGUUGUAAAGCUCUUUCAGCCGGGAAGAAAAGGUUGCGAUUAAUAAUCGCAAUUUAUGACGGUACCGGAAGAAGAAGCACCGGCUAACUACGUGCCAGCAGCCGAUAAUACGUAGGGUGCGAGCGUUAAUCGGAAUUACUGGGCGUAAAGGGUGCGCAGGCGGUUUUGUAAGUCAGAUGUGAAAUCCCCGGGCUUAACCUGGGAACUGCGUUUGAAACUACAAGACUAGAGUGUAGCAGAGGGGGGUGGAAUUCCAUGUGUAGCAGUGAAAUGCGUAGAGAUAUGGAAGAACACCGAUGGCGAAGGCAGCCCCCUGGGUUAACACUGACGCUCAGGCACGAAAGCGUGGGGAGCAAACAGGAUUAGAUACCCUGGUAGUCCACGCCCUAAACGAUGUCAACUAGUUGUCGGGUCUUAAUAGACUUGGUAACGUAGCUAACGCGUGAAGUUGACCGCCUGGGGAGUACGGUCGCAAGAUUAAAACUCAAAGGAAUUGACGGGGACCCGCACAGGCGGUGGAUUAUGUGGAUUAAUUCGAUGCAACGCGAAAAACCUUACCUACCCUUGACAUGUACCGAAGCUUACUGAGAGGUAAGUGUGCCCGAAAGGGAACGGUAACACAGGUGCUGCAUGGCUGUCGUCAGCUCGUGUCGUGGGAUGUUGGGUUAAGUCCCGCAACGAGCGCAACCCUUGUCAUUAAUUGCCAUCAUUUAGUUGGGCACUUUAAUGAGACUGCCGGUGACAAACCGGAGGAAGGUGGGGAUGACGUCAAGUCCUCAUGGCCCUUAUGGGUAGGGCUUCACACGUAAUACAAUGGCGCGUACAGAGGGUUGCCAACCCGCGAGGGGGAGCUAAUCUCAGAAAGCGCGUCGUAGUCCGGAUCGGAGUCUGCAACUCGGCUCCGUGAAGUCGGAAUCGCUAGUAAUCGCGGAUCAGCAUGUCGCGGUGAAUACGUUCCCGGGUCUUGUACACACCGCCCGUCACACCAUGGGAGUGGGUUUCACCAGGAGCAGGUAGUCUAACCGUAAGGAGGGCGCUUGCCACGGUGAGAUUCAUGACUGGGGUGAAGUCGUAACAAGGUA
Molecule: ribosomal RNA, 1308 nt
Filed under: metagenome
Description: bacterial SSU rRNA
Rfam family: Bacterial small subunit ribosomal RNA
Source: RNAcentral